ACCCGCACAAGCGGUGGAUGAUGUGGAUUAAUCGAUGACAACGCGAAAACCUUACCUACCCUUGACAUGUCCGGAAUCCCGAAGAGAUUUGGGAGUGCUCGCAAGAGAGCCGGAACACAGGUGCUGCAUGGCUGUCGUCAGCUCGUGUCGUGAGAUGUUGGGUUAAGUCCCGCAACGAGCGCAACCCUUGUCAUUAGUUGCCAUCAUUUGGUUGGGCACUCUAAUGAGACUGCCGGUGACAAACCGGAGGAAGGUGGGGAUGACGUCAAGUCCUCAUGGCCCUUAUGGGUAGGGCUUCACACGUCAUACAAUGGUCGGUACAGAGGGUUGCCAACCCGCGAGGGGGAGCUAAUCCCACAAAGCCGAUCGUAGUCCGGAUCGCAGUCUGCAACUCGACUGCGUGAAGUCGGAAUCGCUAGUAAUCGUGGAUCAGCAUGUCACGGUGAAUACGUUCCCGGGUCUU
Molecule: ribosomal RNA, 463 nt
Filed under: uncultured Rhodocyclaceae bacterium
Lineage: Bacteria; Pseudomonadati; Pseudomonadota; Betaproteobacteria; Rhodocyclales; Rhodocyclaceae
Description: bacterial SSU rRNA
Rfam family: Bacterial small subunit ribosomal RNA
Source: RNAcentral